Molecule: ribosomal RNA, 869 nt
Filed under: uncultured bacterium
Lineage: Bacteria
Description: bacterial SSU rRNA
Rfam family: Bacterial small subunit ribosomal RNA
Source: RNAcentral
AGUCGAGCGAGUCUGCCUUGAAGAUCGGAGUGCUUGCACUCUGUGAAACAAGAUACAGGCUAGCGGCGGACGGGUGAGUAACACGUGGGUAACCUGCCCAAGAGAUCGGGAUAACACCUGGAAACAGAUGCUAAUACCGGAUAACAACAGAUGAUGCCUAUCAACUGUUUAAAAGAUGGUUCUGCUAUCACUCUUGGAUGGACCUGCGGUGCAUUAGCUAGUUGGUAGGGUAACGGCCUACCAAGGCGAUGAUGCAUAGCCGAGUUGAGAGACUGAUCGGCCACAUUGGGACUGAGACACGGCCCAAACUCCUACGGGAGGCAGCAGUAGGGAAUCUUCCACAAUGGACGCAAGUCUGAUGGAGCAACGCCGCGUGAGUGAAGAAGGGUUUCGGCUCGUAAAGCUCUGUUGUUGGUGAAGAAGGACAGGGGUAGUAACUGACCUUUGUUUGACGGUAAUCAAUUAGAAAGUCACGGCUAACUACGUGCCAGCAGCCGCGGUAAUACGUAGGUGGCAAGCGUUGUCCGGAUUUAUUGGGCGUAAAGCGAGUGCAGGCGGCUCGAUAAGUCUGAUGUGAAAGCCUUCGGCUCAACCGGAGAAUUGCAUCAGAAACUGUCGAGCUUGAGUACAGAAGAGGAGAGUGGAACUCCAUGUGUAGCGGUGAAAUGCGUAGAUAUAUGGAAGAACACCGGUGGCGAAGGCGGCUCUCUGGUCUGUUACUGACGCUGAGGCUCGAAAGCAUGGGUAGCGAACAGGAUUAGAUACCCUGGUAGUCCAUGCCGUANACGAUGAGUGCUAAGUGUUGGGAGGUUUCCGCCUCUCAGUGCUGCAGCUAACGCAUUAAGCACUCCGCCUGGGGAGUACGACCG